RNAcentral lists this ribosomal RNA (1366 nucleotides) under Limosilactobacillus fermentum. Its description in RNAcentral is "bacterial SSU rRNA". It matches the Rfam family "Bacterial small subunit ribosomal RNA", at positions 64 to 1418 of the family's 1533-position model. The record is from RNAcentral. Lineage: Bacteria; Bacillati; Bacillota; Bacilli; Lactobacillales; Lactobacillaceae.
UGCACCUGAUUGAUUUUGGUCGCCAACGAGUGGCGGACGGGUGAGUAACACGUAGGUAACCUGCCCAGAAGCGGGGGACAACAUUUGGAAACAGAUGCUAAUACCGCAUAACAGCGUUGUUCGCAUGAACAACGCUUAAAAGAUGGCUUCUCGCUAUCACUUCUGGAUGGACCUGCGGUGCAUUAGCUUGUUGGUGGGGUAACGGCCUACCAAGGCGAUGAUGCAUAGCCGAGUUGAGAGACUGAUCGGCCACAAUGGGACUGAGACACGGCCCAUACUCCUACGGGAGGCAGCAGUAGGGAAUCUUCCACAAUGGGCGCAAGCCUGAUGGAGCAACACCGCGUGAGUGAAGAAGGGUUUCGGCUCGUAAAGCUCUGUUGUUAAAGAAGAACACGUAUGAGAGUAACUGUUCAUACGUUGACGGUAUUUAACCAGAAAGUCACGGCUAACUACGUGCCAGCAGCCGCGGUAAUACGUAGGUGGCAAGCGUUAUCCGGAUUUAUUGGGCGUAAAGAGAGUGCAGGCGGUUUUCUAAGUCUGAUGUGAAAGCCUUCGGCUUAACCGGAGAAGUGCAUCGGAAACUGGAUAACUUGAGUGCAGAAGAGGGUAGUGGAACUCCAUGUGUAGCGGUGGAAUGCGUAGAUAUAUGGAAGAACACCAGUGGCGAAGGCGGCUACCUGGUCUGCAACUGACGCUGAGACUCGAAAGCAUGGGUAGCGAACAGGAUUAGAUACCCUGGUAGUCCAUGCCGUAAACGAUGAGUGCUAGGUGUUGGAGGGUUUCCGCCCUUCAGUGCCGGAGCUAACGCAUUAAGCACUCCGCCUGGGGAGUACGACCGCAAGGUUGAAACUCAAAGGAAUUGACGGGGGCCCGCACAAGCGGUGGAGCAUGUGGUUUAAUUCGAAGCUACGCGAAGAACCUUACCAGGUCUUGACAUCUUGCGCCAACCCUAGAGAUAGGGCGUUUCCUUCGGGAACGCAAUGACAGGUGGUGCAUGGUCGUCGUCAGCUCGUGUCGUGAGAUGUUGGGUUAAGUCCCGCAACGAGCGCAACCCUUGUUACUAGUUGCCAGCAUUAAGUUGGGCACUCUAGUGAGACUGCCGGUGACAAACCGGAGGAAGGUGGGGACGACGUCAGAUCAUCAUGCCCCUUAUGACCUGGGCUACACACGUGCUACAAUGGACGGUACAACGAGUCGCGAACUCGCGAGGGCAAGCAAAUCUCUUAAAACCGUUCUCAGUUCGGACUGCAGGCUGCAACUCGCCUGCACGAAGUCGGAAUCGCUAGUAAUCGCGGAUCAGCAUGCCGCGGUGAAUACGUUCCCGGGCCUUGUACACACCGCCCGUCACACCAUGAGAGUUUGUAAC